GUGCUUGUUUUGGCAGCACACAUAAUAAACUUGGAAUGAUGCAGAGAAGAUUAGCAUGCCCCUUGCACAAAGAUGAUAUGCAAAUUUGUAAAGCAUUUCAUAUUUUA
This 107-nucleotide small nuclear RNA is filed under the name Chinchilla lanigera (long-tailed chinchilla). Lineage: Eukaryota; Metazoa; Chordata; Mammalia; Rodentia; Chinchillidae. The record is from RNAcentral.